RNAcentral lists this ribosomal RNA (264 nucleotides) under uncultured bacterium. RNAcentral's name for it is "partial 16S ribosomal RNA". It matches the Rfam family "Bacterial small subunit ribosomal RNA", at positions 793 to 1055 of the family's 1533-position model. The record is from RNAcentral.
GUCCACGCUGUAAACGAUGUAUACUCGCUGUUGGAUAGUAGACUAUUCAGUGGCCAACUUAACGAGUUAAGUAUACCGCCUGGGACUACGGCCGCAAGGCUAAAACUCAAAGGAAUUGACGGGGACCCGCACAAGUGGUGGAGCAUGUUGUUUAAUUCGAUGAUACGCGAGAAACCUUACCAGCCUUUGACAUCUUGGUUACGGCGACUGGAAACAGUUGCCAUCAGUUCGGCUGGGCCAAGACAGGUGUUGCAUGGCUGUCGU